UCCUAGUUAACCUAGGCAGUCUCAUUAGAGUUCCCACCCUAAGUGUUGGCAACUAAUGAUAAGGGUUGCGCUCGUUGCGGGACUUAACCCAACACCUCACGGCACGAGCUGACGACAGCCAUGCAGCACCUAUAUAGCGGUCCUUGCGGAAGAUUUCAUUUCUGAAACUGUCCCCUACAUUUCGAGCCUGGGUAAGGUUCUUCGCGUUGCAUCGAAUUAAACCACAUGCUCCACUGCUUGUGCGGGCCCCCGUCAAUUCUUUUUAGUUUCACUCUUGCGAGCGUACUCCUAAGGCGGUAUACUUAUCGCGUUAGCUACGACACAGUCAGGGUUGAGCCCAACUAUAUCAAGUAUACAUCGUUUACGGCAAGGACUAC
RNAcentral lists this unclassified non-coding RNA (377 nucleotides) under uncultured Simkaniaceae bacterium. RNAcentral describes it as "contains 16S-23S intergenic spacer region". The record is from RNAcentral. Lineage: Bacteria; Pseudomonadati; Chlamydiota; Chlamydiia; Parachlamydiales; Simkaniaceae.